CUGGCUCAGGAUGAACGCUAGCGACAGGCCUAACACAUGCAAGUCGAGGGGCAGCGCGGGAGAAGCUUGCUUUCCUGGCGGCGACCGGCGCACGGGUGCGUAACAGGUGUGCAAUCUGUCCAUAGUCGGGGGAUAGCCCAGCGAAAGCUGAAUUAAUACUCCAUGUGAAUCGAAGCCGCAUGACUUUGAUUUGAAACGCAAGGACUAUGGGUGAGCACGCUUCUGAUUAGGUAGUUGGUGGGGUAACGGCCCACCAAGCCGACGAUCAGUAGGGUUCUGAGAGGAAGGUCCCCCACAUUGGAACUGAGACACGGUCCAAACUCCUACGGGAGGCAGCAGUGAGGAAUAUUGGUCAAUGGGCGAGAGCCUGAACCAGCCAAGUCGCGUGAAGGAUGAAGGUUCUAUGGAUUGUAAACUUCUUUUGUCCGAGGGUAAAAAAGGCCACGUGUGGCUUCUUGCAAGUAUCGGACGAAUAAGCAUCGGCUAACUCCGUGCCAGCAGCCGC
This 505-nucleotide ribosomal RNA is filed under the name uncultured bacterium. RNAcentral describes it as "bacterial SSU rRNA". It matches the Rfam family "Bacterial small subunit ribosomal RNA", at positions 19 to 518 of the family's 1533-position model. The record is from RNAcentral.